ACCUUCAGUGGUGUAAUUGGUAGCGCACUGACUUAGUAAUUAUAAGUCCUAGGUUCAAGUCCUGGAUGGGGCA
This is a non-coding RNA of Halocaridina rubra (Hawaiian volcano shrimp), 73 nucleotides long. The record is from the annotation of a GenBank genome assembly. Lineage: Eukaryota; Metazoa; Arthropoda; Malacostraca; Decapoda; Atyidae.